Molecule: ribosomal RNA, 371 nt
Filed under: uncultured bacterium
Lineage: Bacteria
Description: bacterial SSU rRNA
Rfam family: Bacterial small subunit ribosomal RNA
Source: RNAcentral
ACGAAGGGGGCUAGCGUUGCUCGGAUUUACUGGGCGUAAAGGGCGCGUAGGCGGAUUUCUAAGUCAGAGGUGAAAGCCCGGGGCUUAACCCCGGAAUUGCCUUUGAUACUGGAUUUCUUGAGUACGGGAGAGGUGAGUGGAACUCCGAGUGUAGAGGUGAAAUUCGUAGAUAUUCGGAAGAACACCAGUGGCGAAGGCGACUCACUGGCCCGUUACUGACGCUGAGGCGCGAAAGCGUGGGGAGCAAACAGGAUUAGAUACCCUGGUAGUCCACGCCGUAAACGAUGAGUGCUAGUCGUCGGCAUGCAUGCAUGUCGGUGACGCAGCUAACGCAUUAAGCACUCCGCCUGGGGAGUACGGUCGCAAGAUUA